Molecule: transfer RNA, 75 nt
Filed under: Bacillota bacterium
Lineage: Bacteria; Bacillati; Bacillota
Description: Firmicutes bacterium (gut metagenome) tRNA-Cys
Rfam family: tRNA
About the family: Transfer RNA (tRNA) molecules are approximately 80 nucleotides in length.
Source: RNAcentral
GGCGCUGUAGCCAAGUGGUAAGGCAGAGGACUGCAAAUCCUUUACGCUCCGGUUCAAAUCCGGACAGCGCCUCCA